Molecule: long non-coding RNA, 553 nt
Filed under: Vigna radiata
Lineage: Eukaryota; Viridiplantae; Streptophyta; Magnoliopsida; Fabales; Fabaceae
Description: long non-coding RNA (VRAD_LNC004199)
Source: RNAcentral
GUGACACCGGUUGCGACAGAUAGCGACUCCACUGGGGACGCGAGAGUCAGGUCAUUUAAUUAGAUGCGCGAAUUCGAUGUGGUUUUGCUUUAUGUUUUUCUUCCCUUUUUCUUUAUCUAUGUUCGAAAUAAUUGUUGUACAUUGAACCCUAUGGUAGAAAACAUGUUAUAUCUGCUUGGGAAUCUUCUGGUUGUUUUGCAGGUGAGGGUUUGGGUGUGCAUGGUGUUCUCCCUUCACACACACUUUAUGCAUAUCAUGAGUGGGGCCCUAUACCCGGGUCUGAGCGUAGCCUAGAAAUAGAGGGGUUGUGUAGCGGUAUCAUUUGGGAUAUUGUUCCUGUUUGGCUAUCGUGAGAACCCCAGCUAGAGUUUGUUCUCUUCAUUUGUCUCUCUGCAUCUAGUUGAUUGCUCGACUGUUGUGGAGAUACUAUGAAGGGGGUCAUAGCUCUAGUGACCAUUGACCUCUAGGUUCAGGGAGUCAUCCUUGUGAGAUUGCAUAUAUUUGACCUUGAAAUGUUGAACCUUCUCUAGGGCACAAAGGGAGAUGUGUGCAG